RNAcentral lists this long non-coding RNA (325 nucleotides) under Mytilus galloprovincialis (Mediterranean mussel). Lineage: Eukaryota; Metazoa; Mollusca; Bivalvia; Mytilida; Mytilidae. The record is from RNAcentral.
GCUGUUUGAACAUUUUAUCAUUUAGAGUGACAAUGAGUUCUCGCAUCAUACGCAAUUCUGUAUUCCUGAAAACAAUUUAUCGUGCAGAAACUUUUCAAAGAAAACUAAUGAUUGACUUUGGCAAAAUGGAUCAAUUCUAUGCAUUAUGUGACAUUGUUAUGAUCGUAUUACAUGGACAACUGAUACUUACAGAUAUUCACAGAGAGAAACUAAAACACUACAGAAACGUCAUUCGUGCCUUAGCGCAUUAACAUUGCAAGGAAAGAGCGAACACUUUUAGCAUAUCACGGGUUGAUUCCUUUAUUGAUAUACCCUGUUAUCCGAC